AAAUACUGGCUCUGUGAUGGCGACGAUGAUUGUGAGGACAAGACAGACGAACAGGACUAACACACACACACACACACACACAGAGUGCAGUAACGACAAGUUCCUUUGUGAUAACACCAAAUGCAUCCCGAAAGUCUGGCUCUGUGAUGGCGAAGAGGAUUGUGAGGACAAGACAGACGAACAGGACUGUUCAGAGCGCUGCCGGCACUGGGAGUUCAGGUGCCGGGAUGGUUCGUGUAUCAACCAACGAUUACGCUGCAACGGCCGCCGAGACUGCCGCGAUGGCUCCGACGAGUGGCAAUGCAGACGACAUUAGCCAUGGCACCAUGGGCGGAACAGAUUUACGGAGGCCGAUCC
Molecule: long non-coding RNA, 357 nt
Organism: Eriocheir sinensis (Chinese mitten crab)
Lineage: Eukaryota; Metazoa; Arthropoda; Malacostraca; Decapoda; Varunidae
Exons: 4
Source: RefSeq, a predicted model, not a curated record